CGGCAGCACGGGUGCUUGCACCUGGUGGCGAGUGGCGAACGGGUGAGUAAUACAUCGGAACGUGUCCUGGAGUGGGGGAUAGCCCGGCGAAAGCCGGAUUAAUACCGCAUACGCUCUAUGGAGGAAAGCGGGGGAUCUUCGGACCUCGCGCUCAAGGGGCGGCCGAUGGCAGAUUAGCUAGUUGGUGGGGUAAAGGCCUACCAAGGCGACGAUCUGUAGCUGGUCUGAGAGGACGACCAGCCACACUGGGACUGAGACACGGCCCAGACUCCUACGGGAGGCAGCAGUGGGGAAUUUUGGACAAUGGGGGCAACCCUGAUCCAGCAAUGCCGCGUGUGUGAAGAAGGCCUUCGGGUUGUAAAGCACUUUUGUCCGGAAAGAAAACUUCGGGGUUAAUACCUCUGGAGGAUGACGGUACCGGAAGAAUAAGCACCGGCUAACUACGUGCCAGCAGCCGCGGUAAUACGUAGGGUGCGAGCGUUAAUCGGAAUUACUGGGCGUAAAGCGUGCGCAGGCGGUGAUGUAAGACCGAUGUGAAAUCCCCGGGCUUAACCUGGGAACUGCAUUGGUGACUGCAUCGCUCGAGUAUGGCAGAGGGGGGUAGAAUUCCACGUGUAGCAGUGAAAUGCGUAGAGAUGUGGAGGAAUACCGAUGGCGA
This 658-nucleotide ribosomal RNA is filed under the name uncultured beta proteobacterium. RNAcentral describes it as "bacterial SSU rRNA". It matches the Rfam family "Bacterial small subunit ribosomal RNA", at positions 67 to 718 of the family's 1533-position model. The record is from RNAcentral. Lineage: Bacteria; Pseudomonadati; Pseudomonadota; Betaproteobacteria.